Molecule: ribosomal RNA, 465 nt
Filed under: uncultured bacterium
Lineage: Bacteria
Description: partial 16S ribosomal RNA
Rfam family: Bacterial small subunit ribosomal RNA
Source: RNAcentral
GACGAACGCUGGCGGCGUGCUUAACACAUGCAAGUCGAACGGAAAGGCCCCCUUGUGGGGUACUCGAGUGGCGAACGGGUGAGUAACACGUGAGUAACCUACCCUUGACUUUGGGAUAACUUCAGGAAACUGGGGCUAAUACCGGAUAGGAGCUCCUGCUGCAUGGUGGGGGUUGGAAAGUUUCGGCGGUUGGGGAUGGACUCGCGGCUUAUCAGCUUGUUGGUGGGGUAGUGGCUCACCAAGGCUUUGACGGGUAGCCGGCCUGAGAGGGGGACCGGCCACAUUGGGACUGAGAUACGGCCCAGACUCCUACGGGAGGCAGCAGUGGGGAAUAUUGCACAAUGGGCGGAAGCCUGAUGCAGCAACGCCGCGUGCGGGAUGACGGCCUUCGGGUUGUAAACCGCUUUCGCCUGUGACGAAGCGUGAGUGACGGUAAUGGGUAAAGAAGCACCGGCUAACUACGUG